GACGAACGCUGGCGGCGUGCUUAACACAUGCAAGUCGAACGGAAAGGCCCUGCUUUUGUGGGGUGCUCGAGUGGCGAACGGGUGAGUAACACGUGAGUAACCUGCCCUUGACUUUGGGAUAACUUCAGGAAACUGGGGCUAAUACCGGAUAGGAGCUCCUGCUGCAUGGUGGGGGUUGGAAAGUUUCGGCGGUUGGGGAUGGACUCGCGGCUUAUCAGCUUGUUGGUGGGGUAGUGGCUUACCAAGGCUUUGACGGGUAGCCGGCCUGGGAGGGUGACCGGCCACAUUGGGCCUGGGAUACGGCCCAGACUCUUACGGGGGGCAGCAGUGGGGAAUUUUGCACAAUGGGCGGAAGCCUGAUGCAGCAACGCCGCGUGCGGGAUGACGGCCUUCGGGUUGUAAACCGCUUUCGCCUGUGACGAAGCGUGAGUGACGGUACUGGGUAAAGAAGCACCGGCUACCUACGU
RNAcentral lists this ribosomal RNA (467 nucleotides) under uncultured bacterium. Its description in RNAcentral is "partial 16S ribosomal RNA". It matches the Rfam family "Bacterial small subunit ribosomal RNA", at positions 28 to 506 of the family's 1533-position model. The record is from RNAcentral.